This 229-nucleotide unclassified non-coding RNA is filed under the name plant metagenome. RNAcentral's name for it is "partial contains small subunit ribosomal RNA and internal transcribed spacer 1". The stretch from base 1 to 46 matches the Rfam family "Eukaryotic small subunit ribosomal RNA", at positions 1786 to 1831 of the family's 1831-position model. The record is from RNAcentral.
AAGUCGUAACAAGGUUUCCGUAGGUGAACCUGCGGAAGGAUCAUUACAGAGUUCAUGCCCUCACGGGUAGACCUCCCACCCUUGUGUAUUUAUACCGUGUUGCUUUGGCAGGCUGCUGCACCCCUCGGGGGACAGCCCCAGCGCCUUCGGGCCUGGGAGUCGCCUGCCGGAGGAAAAACAAACUCUGAAUUGUUAGUGUCGUCUGAGUACUAUAUUUUAAUAGUUAAAA